GACGAACGCUGGCGGCGUGCCUAAUACAUGCAAGUCGAACGAAAGGACCAGAAGCUUGCUUCUCUGAUGUUAGCCGCGGACGGGAGAGUCACACGUGGAUAACCUACCUAUAAGACUGGGAUAACUUCGGGAAACCGGCGCUAAUACCGGAUAAUAUUUUGCACCGCAUUGUUCAAAAGUGAGAUUCGGUCUUUCUGUCACUUAUAGCUGGAUCCGCGCUGCAUUAGCUGGUAGGUAAGGUAACGGCUUACCAAGGCAACGAUGCAUAGCCGACCUGAGAGGGUGGUCGGCCACACUGGAACUGAGACACGGUCGAGACUCCUACGGGGGGCCGCAGUAGGGAAUCUUCCGCGAUGGGGGAAAGCCGGACGGAGCAACGCCGCGUGAGUGAUGAAGGUGUUCGGAUCGUAAAACUCUGUUAUUAGGGAAGAACAUAUGUGUAAGUAACUGUGCACAUCUUGACGGUACCUAAUCAGAAAGCCACGGCUAACUACGUG
Molecule: ribosomal RNA, 497 nt
Filed under: uncultured bacterium
Lineage: Bacteria
Description: partial 16S ribosomal RNA
Rfam family: Bacterial small subunit ribosomal RNA
Source: RNAcentral